GACGAACGCUGGCGGCGUGCCUAAUACAUGCCAGUAGAACGCUGAAGGAGGAGCUUGCUUCUCUGGAUGAGUUGCGAACGGGUGAGUAACGCGUAGGUAACCUGCCUGGUAGCGGGGGAUAACUCUUGGAAACGAUAGCUAAUACCGCAUAAUAGUAGAUGUUGCAUGACAUUUGCUUAAAAGGUGCAAUUGCAUCACUACCAGAUGGACCUGCGUUGUAUUAGCUAGUUGGUGGGGUAACGGCUCACCAAGGCGACGAUACAGAGCCGACCUGGGAGGGUGAUCGGCCACACUGGGACUGGGACACGGCCCAGACUCCUACGGGAGGCAGCAGUAGGGAAUCUUCGGCAAUGGACGGAAGGCUGACCGAGCAACGCCGCGUGAGUGAAGAAGGUUUUCGGAUCGUAAAGCUCUGUUGUAAGGGAAGAACGAGUGUGAGAGUGGAAAGUUCACACUGUGACGGUAUCUUACCAGAAAGGGACGGCUAACUACGUG
RNAcentral lists this ribosomal RNA (495 nucleotides) under uncultured bacterium. Its description in RNAcentral is "partial 16S ribosomal RNA". It matches the Rfam family "Bacterial small subunit ribosomal RNA", at positions 28 to 507 of the family's 1533-position model. The record is from RNAcentral.